GAUGAACGCUGGCGGCGUGCCUAAUACAUGCAAGUCGAGCGAACGGACGAGAAGCUUGCUUUUCUGAUGUUAGCGGCGGACGGGUGAGUAACACGUGGAUAACCUACCUAUAAGACUGGGAUAACUUCGGGAAACCGGAGCUAAUACCGGAUAAUAUUUUGAACCGCAUGGUUCAAAAGUGAAAGACGGUCUUGCUGUCACUUAUAGAUGGAUCCGCGCUGCAUUAGCUAGUUGGUAAGGUAACGGCUUACCAAGGCAACGAUGCAUAGCCGACCUGAGAGGGUGAUCGGCCACACUGGAACUGAGACACGGUCCAGACUCCUACGGGAGGCAGCAGUAGGGAAUCUUCCGCAAUGGGCGAAAGCCUGACGGAGCAACGCCGCGUGAGUGAUGAAGGUCUUCGGAUCGUAAAACUCUGUUAUUAGGGAAGAACAUAUGUGUAAGUAACUGUGCACAUCUUGACGGUACCUAAUCAGAAAGCCACGGCUAACUACGUGCCAGCAGCCGCGGUAAUACGUAGGUGGCAAGCGUUAUCCGGAAUUAUUGGGCGUAAAGCGCGCGUAGGCGGUUUUUUAAGUCUGAUGUGAAAGCCCACGGCUCAACCGUGGAGGGUCAUUGGAAACUGGAAAACUUGAGUGCAGAAGAGGAAAGUGGAAUUCCAUGUGUAGCGGUGAAAUGCGCAGAGAUAUGGAGGAACACCAGUGGCGAAGGCGACUUUCUGGUCUGUAACUGACGCUGAUGUGCGAAAGCGUGGGGAUCAAACAGGAUUAGAUACCCUGGUAGUCCACGCCGUAAACGAUGAGUGCUAAGUGUUAGGGGGUUUCCGCCCCUUAGUGCUGCAGCUAACGCAUUAAGCACUCCGCCUGGGGAGUACGACCGCAAGGUUGAAACUCAAAGGAAUUGACGGGGACCCGCACAAGCGGUGGAGCAUGUGGUUUAAUUCGAAGCAACGCGAAGAACCUUACCAAAUCUUGACAUCCUUUGACAACUCUAGAGAUAGAGCCUUCCCCUUCGGGGGACAAAGUGACAGGUGGUGCAUGGUUGUCGUCAGCUCGUGUCGUGAGAUGUUGGGCUAAGUCCCGCAACGAGCGCAACCCUUAAGCUUAGUUGCCAUCAUUAAGUUGGGCACUCUAAGUUGACUGCCGGUGACAAACCGGAGGAAGGUGGGGAUGACGUCAAAUCAUCAUGCCCCUUAUGAUUUGGGCUACACACGUGCUACAAUGGACAAUACAAAGGGCAGCGAAACCGUGAGGUCAAGCAAAUCCCAUAAAGUUGUUCUCAGUUCGGAUUGUAGUCUGCAACUCGACUACAUGAAGCUGGAAUCGCUAGUAAUCGUAGAUCAGCAUGCUACGGUGAAUACGUUCCCGGGUCU
Molecule: ribosomal RNA, 1372 nt
Filed under: uncultured bacterium
Lineage: Bacteria
Description: bacterial SSU rRNA
Rfam family: Bacterial small subunit ribosomal RNA
Source: RNAcentral